GUCUCGAACGGUAUGAACCUUCCCGUGCUUUUUAGAACAAGAUCGCACCAGUCAGGUGACGAUCGCAACACAUACGCCGUUGAGAUGAUUGCCUAGGCGAUCACCGCGGUAAGGCGAACACCGCCGUCUACGUUUCUCUUUCUCGAUUAGGAUAUGUCCUCACGCUGUCGCGGCUUUGCCGCUGCGCUCCGGACGGGGCGCCGGACGACCGGCGUGGGCCUCUGGCCCUGUUUGGUGGUCUGAUCGACGUUCGAUUGACUGUCGCCUGUUGGUUCGAUCAGUGUGUGUACACGUAAAUCGGGCCCGUAGCUCAGUCGGUUAGAGCACACGCUUGAUAAGCGUGGGGUCGGUAGUUCGAGUCUACCCGGGCCCACCAUGUUCUCUUCCGAUCGAUGAUCGGAGUUGAAGAAUUGGGGCUGUAGCUCAGCUGGGAGAGCACCUGCUUUGCAAGCAGGGGGUCAGCGGUUCGAUCCCGCUCAGCUCCACCAUUCCUGAUGUUUUGAAAGAAACAUCACAGGUGGAAGACGGAAUAUCCUAAGAGAGAAAUAAAAGUUUGCAUCGGUUCGUUCGAGCCUGAUGCCUGUUCUGAUUACAUUGUGAAGAGAAGAUAUGUCUGGAAGCUUCCAGGUGUUUUGAGCAAUUCUUACGAAUUGCCCGGGACGUCCGAGCCCAGUCUCAUCGAAACCAAGGAUGGUCUAGCCGACCGGAUCUGGUGGAGGGGCUGGAGAAGGUAGGAAGCUUGUUACUCAAGGCAUGUUUGUUGUUGGUGGUUUGGAACCGCUGGAACUUCAAGUCCGCAAGGAUUUGGGGAUUUUGGUGUUUCUAAAACAUCUCUGACGGCAUGUUGAUGGAUGUUGCCUGACCGCGCAUCCCCGGACAGAUCUCGAGAAGCUGGUCUUAAUGAUCCGGCCCCGAAGUGCACCGGCGUGCCUUCAGAUGGGGAACGGAUCGAACACGUCGAUGGCAUCUGGAUUUGGUGUGGCUGUAAAAGGUAGUCACGCUGUUGGAUCCUGGUCCUACACACUGAGAAGUGUCCGUAUGGCCAGGUUUGGAACCCCUUCGAGCGCAAGCGAGGAGGUUAGGUUUGCCAAACCCAACAAAGGAUGAGCAUUGGCAAUGAGAACGAUCAAGUGAAAUAAGGGCAAUUGGUGGAUGCCUUGGCAUGCACAGGCGAUGAAGGACGUGAUA
This 1188-nucleotide transfer RNA is filed under the name Rhizobium giardinii. Its description in RNAcentral is "partial contains 16S ribosomal RNA, 16S-23S ribosomal RNA intergenic spacer, and 23S ribosomal RNA". The stretch from base 300 to 373 matches the Rfam family "tRNA". The record is from RNAcentral. Lineage: Bacteria; Pseudomonadati; Pseudomonadota; Alphaproteobacteria; Hyphomicrobiales; Rhizobiaceae.